AUGUCUCAGCUUAAGUUGCUUUCUGCUACACUGUGAAUGGCUCAUGUUUUAAGCCACAAAUUGAUUGGUGGCUGACACAUAUGGAUAUCUAUGGCAACGCUGCAGCUAACACAUACUCGUUGACCCUGCUGGAUGGGUCGUCGCCAUGCUCACAAGAACCGAUUCAGGCUCUGCUUGGCCAGGCAUGAGUACAAAUGGCUGCAUGAACCACGGUGUCUGUGCAGGUGAUAAUCCUUCAAGGUUUCUGACCUAUCAGCUUCCGACGGCAGGGUAAUGGCCCACUGUGGCAGUGACAGGUGACGGAGGAUUAGGGUUUGAUUCCGGAGAGGGAGCCUGAGAAAUGGCUACCACAUCCAAGGAAGGCAGCAGGCGCGCAACUUGCCCAAUUCUGGACGAAAGAGGUAGUGACAAGAAAUAGCAAUUCAAGGCAUCCAUGUCUUGUACUUGGAAUGAAAGACCUGCACACUUCCUUUUGAGUAUCUAUUGGAGGGCAAGUCUGGUGCCAGCAGCCGCGGUAAUUCCAGCUCCAAUGGCAUAUGUUAGAGUUGUUGCAUCUGCAGAGGAUGCCUGGUCUGCCCA
Molecule: ribosomal RNA, 579 nt
Filed under: Gambierdiscus caribaeus
Lineage: Eukaryota; Dinophyceae; Gonyaulacales; Pyrocystaceae
Description: SSU rRNA
Rfam family: Eukaryotic small subunit ribosomal RNA
Source: RNAcentral